GUUUGAUUCUCAUCCCAUCUCACUGCACCGCGCGAACGCCCCCCCUCCCCUGCCACCGCCGUUGCUACGCCUCUCUCCGGACUCUACUCCGCCCUGAAACCUCCGUACACCCUUCAAGUCUUCAUUUUUAAGGAGUAAGGUAUUCUUUUACCAACUCAUCAUGGAUAUUGAUUUCGAUGGUCUGAUUUCUAGUGACGCUGCAAAUACUGGUCGGAGAUAAAGUUUCCUUCAAAAGCAUUCUAAACUCUACCGAGACUGUAGCAAGAGGAAGGGUCCAGAGCUUGGACCUAAAUGAUCUAGUUGGUGGUACAGAGAUUGAACCAGAAUGGUGUGAGGUAAACGUUCAAGUACCAAUAAAAAAAGAUGAAACUUGGUAAGACAAUAUGGUUUAUUUUCUACAAUUCAAGAUUGUAUUGAUGCAUCCAUGCCUGGCCCUAUCCAUUCAUCUCGGUAGUCCAUGAGGAUUGAGGACACAUGAUAACUCAAGAUUUUAUGCUUCUUAUUUCUUUAAUUGCUUUUAAUUUCUUUGUUAAAUGUUAAGACUU
Molecule: long non-coding RNA, 545 nt
Filed under: Helianthus annuus (common sunflower)
Lineage: Eukaryota; Viridiplantae; Streptophyta; Magnoliopsida; Asterales; Asteraceae
Description: sRNA HanXRQr2_Chr14g0670411
Source: RNAcentral